CUGGGUGUCUCAAGCGACGGGGUCACACCCGAUCCCAUUCCGAACUCGGAAGUUAAGCCCGUCCGCGCUGAUGGUACUCCUUUCGGGGGAGAGUAGGCCGGUGCCCAGU
This 109-nucleotide ribosomal RNA is filed under the name bacterium. The record is from RNAcentral.